AGCUCGAUAGCGCAACGGUAGCGCGUCUCUGCCCACAACAGGAAGAUCUCGGUUCGACUCCGAGUCUGGCUA
RNAcentral lists this transfer RNA (72 nucleotides) under Stereum hirsutum FP-91666 SS1. Its description in RNAcentral is "tRNA-Val (CAC) (tRNA-Val-CAC-5-1)". It matches the Rfam family "tRNA". Rfam says of the family: Transfer RNA (tRNA) molecules are approximately 80 nucleotides in length. Their secondary structure includes four short double-helical elements and three loops (D, anti-codon, and T loops). The record is from RNAcentral. Lineage: Eukaryota; Fungi; Basidiomycota; Agaricomycetes; Russulales; Stereaceae.